GCCGGGGUGGCGGAACUGGUAGACGCGCCAGACUCAAAAUCUGGUUCAGGCAACUGAGUGGGGGUUCGAUUCCCUUCCCCGGCACCA
This 87-nucleotide transfer RNA is filed under the name Gammaproteobacteria bacterium RBG_16_51_14. RNAcentral's name for it is "tRNA-Leu". It matches the Rfam family "tRNA". Rfam says of the family: Transfer RNA (tRNA) molecules are approximately 80 nucleotides in length. Their secondary structure includes four short double-helical elements and three loops (D, anti-codon, and T loops). RNAcentral also lists the same sequence under 1 other name. Lineage: Bacteria; Pseudomonadati; Pseudomonadota; Gammaproteobacteria. The record is from RNAcentral.